Molecule: ribosomal RNA, 494 nt
Filed under: uncultured bacterium
Lineage: Bacteria
Description: partial 16S ribosomal RNA
Rfam family: Bacterial small subunit ribosomal RNA
Source: RNAcentral
GACGAACGCUGGCGGCGUGCUUAACACAUGCAAGUCGAACGGUGAAGCGCCUUCCUUUUUGGUGGGUGUGCAUGAGUGGCGAACGGGUGAGUAACACGUGAGUAACCUGCCCCCUUCUUCUGGAUAACCGCAUGAAAGUGUGGCUAAUACGGGAUAUUCUGGGUCUGUCGCAUGAUGGGUCUGGGAAAGAUAUUGUUUCGGUGGGGGAUGGGCUCGCGGCCUAUCAGCUUGUUGGUGGGGUGAUGGCCUACCAAGGCGGUGACGGGUAGCCGGCCUGAGAGGGUGGACGGUCACACUGGGACUGAGACACGGCCCAGACUCCUACGGGAGGCAGCAGUGGGGAAUAUUGCACAAUGGGCGCAAGCCUGAUGCAGCGACGCCGCGUGAGGGAUGGAGGCCUUCGGGUUGUGAACCUCUUUCGCCAGUGAAGCAGGCCUGCCUCGUUUGUGGGUGGGUUGACGGUAGCUGGAUAAGAAGCGCCGGCUAACUACGUG